Molecule: long non-coding RNA, 748 nt
Organism: Felis catus (domestic cat)
Lineage: Eukaryota; Metazoa; Chordata; Mammalia; Carnivora; Felidae
Exons: 3
Source: RefSeq, a predicted model, not a curated record
AUGACUUUAUAAACAUUUGUAUGACAGAUUAGGGAGUUACAACUGCAUCAGAGAAUACAGUAAAAAGGCAUGUUCUCCACAAGACAUGAAACAGUGUUUCUACUCUUUUUCUUUCUUUUUUUUUUUUUUUUUUUUUUGCUUCAGACAACACUUUGUUCUAAUCAAGCAUGUUCAGUAAACGUUUAUGUAUUUGUGAAUCAGGCACGGAGGAAGAAGGUGGAAAGAGAAAUUCCUAAUCUCCCGGGGUGGAAAUUGUGAAGUAUUAAAUGGAUAUCUGAUGCAUAAAUACAAAUAACAUAAUCUCUCUAUUUUCUUCUGAGACAGUCACCAGUUACAAUAAUCCUAAAAUUAUCCCAUCUUCUCAAAUCCCUCAAGAUUUAUUAAUUUUCAUAAACUGCUUUGAUGGAAAUUUUCUUAAAAGAUGCAAAGUAACCUUUCUCGAGCUCUCCUUUUACUUCAGAUCAUGGACAGCAUUUUCAACCUCAGAAUACCAAAAGAAGAUUGCCCAUAUCCUGGCAAAUGCUCCUGCCUGGACAGGAAACAUGGGAGGAAUCCCUUGCUGAGACAUCAAGAUGGCUCCAGGUGAAAAUGGAUGGAGCUGACCAUGGGAAAUAUACUGGAAAUUCUUAAAGCAUUAUAUGGAAUCAUCUCUACAGACAGCCCUUCAUCAAAAAAACUGAAAACAUUAACAGACUGUGGGUAGCACAUCUGUUUAAAUUCAAGAAUAAAGAAGACUGUGUCAGCCUCA